CUUCCCGCUGGCGGCGUGCCUAAUACAUGCAAGUCGAGCGAACAGACGAGGAGCUUGCUCCUCUGACGUUAGCGGCGGACGGGUGAGUAACACGUGGAUAACCUACCUAUAAGACUGGGAUAACUUCGGGAAACCGGAGCUAAUACCGGAUAAUAUAUUGAACCGCAUGGUUCAAUAGUGAAAGACGGUUUUGCUGUCACUUAUAGAUGGAUCCGCGCCGCAUUAGCUAGUUGGUAAGGUAACGGCUUACCAAGGCGACGAUGCGUAGCCGACCUGAGAGGGUGAUCGGCCACACUGGAACUGAGACACGGUCCAGACUCCUACGGGAGGCAGCAGUAGGGAAUCUUCCGCAAUGGGCGAAAGCCUGACGGAGCAACGCCGCGUGAGUGAUGAAGGUCUUCGGAUCGUAAAACUCUGUUAUUAGGGAAGAACAAAUGUGUAAGUAACUAUGCACGUCUUGACGGUACCUAAUCAGAAAGCCACGGCUAACUACGUG
This 496-nucleotide ribosomal RNA is filed under the name uncultured bacterium. RNAcentral describes it as "partial 16S ribosomal RNA". It matches the Rfam family "Bacterial small subunit ribosomal RNA", at positions 34 to 507 of the family's 1533-position model. The record is from RNAcentral.